GAGAGAGGGUGCGCAGACGGCCAGCCGGGCCGCGCCAGGGACAUACUGGAGACAGGAAGUGGCUGAGAGGGGGAGAGAGUUGGAGAGAGACGGCCGCGGAGGACACGGGGACGGGAAAGUCUGAGAGACGGGGAGAGCCUGACCCGGCGGGACACAGGCAGAAAGAAACACGCGAGCCAGACAGACGCAGAAGAAACGUGCCUGGUACUGGAUAGGAACUUCAUGGAAUGGAGCUAAUGGGCCGUAGGGCAGGUUUGAGUCGUGCCACCCUGGAGCAGAAGGUGGAGGGUAGGGAUAAGGGUGGAGAGAAACUAGGAGAAAAGCACAGGAUGUAGAGGUCUAUUCGGCAUAAUCUUCUCCCUCAUUUUCAUCUUCACCAUCAACAGAGAGAGCAGCAUACUUGCUUGCAGAACUGAACUUCUGUAACACAACGAGAGUGACAGGAUAAUGAAGGCCCUGAAUUAUCACAUCAAAACCCAAGACACAGGAUACUGAUCCUUUGGCAAUGGGGGAUGACAGUCAGAUGACACCCACUUGCUUGCUCAUCAGCAUUGUCCAUUGGAGAGGAGCUAGGGAAGAGGGUCAGAGGCACAUGCGAUCUUACUAUAGUCUCAUACCACCUCUACACCUUGCAGAAGGGAUGAGAACAAAGGAAGACAGAAACCAGGAAAAAGCUAAACUUCUUUCGCUAUUUCAGUAAAGACCAAUGUCUUAUUUCCAAACACUUUGUAUUCCAAAUGGAAAGAAGUCCAACGGCAAAAAGUUUAGAAUACUAAGAAUUUUUAAUUCUUAGUAAGAAUACUUAGAAUUCUAAGAAUUUUUCUUAGAAUGAAAAAUUGGGAGCAGCCUUCAACACUUACGGAAGCUGGAUUUUCCUCAGGUUUCUUUGGCUCAGGUGCAGAUCUGGAGUCUUGAUCCUUUUUGCCAUCUUUCCUGCAGAGACGUAAGCAUAAAACCAUGUCUUUAGGAAAGGACUCGCCUAAUACAAACAUGUGUAUGCAUGCAGUUUCAAGGCACUGAACAGGCACCUCUAGUCAACAGUCCUUGUUGUCUGGAUGAUGUAUUACUUCUAGAUUUUCAGAAUCUUAACUGUCUACGUUGGCUGACUUUAGUUUGCUCACAAUGAGCGAUCUGGCAGUGCUCUGAGAACCAAGAACUUAAUUUCUUAAUUACACAAACAUGUGGAUCAGAGGAAAGAUGAGAAAGAGAACAAGCAUACCUAUCUGACUCCUUCCAGUGGUCUCUGUUCCCUCCGUCGCCUGGACCACGGCUAGAGUUCCCAGUUUGGCCUUUUGGGGCAUUCAUCCCAUCUACUUUAUUUUCAUCUGCUUGGGCAGUAAUGUAAACAAAUUAAAGGCAAGUAAAAGUAUCAAUGUCCCUCUCCUAAGAUUUCCCUUAAGCUGAAGAAAAUUGUGCCCACAUGUACUGAGGGAAACUAACCUCACCCCAACCCAGACUUCCUUCCUGAAGCCCUUCUUUCCACAUCCUCUACAGCACACAAAAAUACAAAAAACAAACAAAAUCCACUAAAAAGUUCCAUGUAGGGAUAUGCCAUCAUGAAAAGCAAG
RNAcentral lists this long non-coding RNA (1568 nucleotides) under Homo sapiens (human). RNAcentral describes it as "HSALNT0368316". The record is from RNAcentral. Lineage: Eukaryota; Metazoa; Chordata; Mammalia; Primates; Hominidae.